This 1554-nucleotide ribosomal RNA is filed under the name Aotus nancymaae (Ma's night monkey). RNAcentral describes it as "16S ribosomal RNA". It matches the Rfam family "Bacterial large subunit ribosomal RNA". The record is from RNAcentral. Lineage: Eukaryota; Metazoa; Chordata; Mammalia; Primates; Aotidae.
GCCAACUCUAGCCCUAGUCCCAUACAAUUAUAAUAACUAAACAUAAUAACCAAAUCAUUUACCCACUAUAAAAGUAUAGGAGAUAGAAAUUAUACCCUAGGCGCAAUAGAUAUAGUACCGUAAGGGAAAGAAAAAAAUCAACAAAGCACAAUAAAGCAAAGACAAACUCUUGUACCUUCUGCAUAAUGAAUUAACUAGAAAUAACUUUAUAUAGAGAACUUCAAUAAUGCUCCCCGAAACCAGGCGAGCUACCCAAGGACAGCUAAAAGAGCACACCCAUCUAUGUGGCAAAAUAGUGGGAAAAUCUAUGGGUAGUGGCGACAAACCUACCGAGCCUGGUGAUAGCUGGUUGUCCAAGACAGAAUCUUAGUUCAACCUUAAAUUUACUUACAGAACUAUUUAAUCCUCCCGUAAAUUUAAUUGUUAGUCUAAAGAGGGACAGCUCCUUAGACCCUAGGAAACAACCUUUACAUAGAGAGUAAAACACCCCACCACCAUAGUUGGCCUAAAAGCAGCCAUCAAUUAAGAAAGCGUUUAAGCUCAACACUCACCUUUCCUUAAUCUCACCCAAUAUACUGAACUCCUAAAGCACAUUGGACUGAUCUAUUAUUUAAUAGAAGCAAUAAUGUUAAUAUAAGUAACAUGAAACUAUUCUCCCCGCAUAAGCUUAUCUCAGACCGAAACAACUACUGUUAGUUAACAGCCCAAUCAUCAUAUACCACAACCCAACCAACCUAUUAAACAAACUGUUAACCCAACACAGGCAUGCACCCAGGAAAGAUUAAAAAAAGUAAAAGGAACUCGGCAAACUCUAACCCCGCCUGUUUACCAAAAACAUCACCUCUAGCAUUACUAGUAUUAGAGGCACUGCCUGCCCAGUGACACAUGUUUAACGGCCGCGGUACCCUGACCGUGCAAAGGUAGCAUAAUCACUUGUUCCCUAAAUAGGGACUUGCAUGAAUGGCCACACGAGGGUUUAACUGUCUCUUACUUUUAAUCAGUGAAAUUGACCUAUCCGUGAAGAGGCGGAUAUAACCAAAUAAGACGAGAAGACCCUAUGGAGCUUCAAUUUAAUAAUACAAACAAAUGCUCUAAACACCCACAGGCACUAACCCACUGUCAAUGUAUUAUAAAUUUUGGUUGGGGUGACCUCGGAGCAUAACACAACCUCCGAAAAGCAUAUACCAAGACCUCACUAGUCUAAGUAAUUUACACUCAUUGACCCAAUAACUUGAUCAACGGACCAAGUUACCCUAGGGAUAACAGCGCAAUCCUAUUCUAGAGUUCAUAUCGACAAUAGGGUUUACGACCUCGAUGUUGGAUCAAGACAUCCUAAUGGUGCAGCCGCUAUUAAAGGUUCGUUUGUUCAACGAUUAAAGUCUUACGUGAUCUGAGUUCAGACCGGAGAAAUCCAGGUCGGUUUCUAUCUAUUAAAUAUUUCUCCCAGUACGAAAGGACAAGAGAAAUGGAGCCUACUUCAUAAAGCGCCCCCACAAAUAAAAUGAUUAUAAUCUUAAUUUCACAAAUUAUUAACCCUGCCCAAGAACAGGGCUU